UUUCUUACUCCAUGUAGGUUUCCCAGAGACUAUGGGUUGAGGAGGAAUUGGAAGUUUGUCGGCUUAGACCUGGUGUCAUUCCAUCAGUGUUAAACUUCCCGGCUCAUCUUGGAAGAGUACGUGCCAGAAAGACCAUGACCAAGCAGCCUUGAGAUCUUAGACAGCGUCUCCCUGAGACCAAAGAACUACAGACUCUUCACAACCUGCUCAAACUCUUGGUACAGGACCUCACCACACGGGUCAAGAAGGUUUCUGUCUCAUUUCUACUCUGAAGCUCACCUCCUGCUCAAACUGCUGACAAAUGUUUCUGCUGCUCUAAAGUCUGGUCUCCAGAACUUCCUAAAAACUCUCAAAGUCUCUUCUGCUGCAGGUUGCUUUGUAGAACUGUUCCAGAAAACCUCACUAAAC
Molecule: long non-coding RNA, 408 nt
Organism: Amphiprion ocellaris (clown anemonefish)
Lineage: Eukaryota; Metazoa; Chordata; Actinopteri; Pomacentridae
Source: Ensembl